GAUUAACGCUGGCGGCGUGCAUAACACAUGCAAGUCGAACGAUGAAACUUAGUAGACUUCUUCGGAAAGACACUAAGCGGAUUAGUGGCAAACGGGUGAGUAACGCGUGAGUAACCUGCCUUACACAAGGGGAUAGCCUUUGGAAACGAAGAAUAAUACCCUAUAAAACUAUAAAAGCACAUGCUAGAAUGGUCAAAGUGCUAGCGGUGUAAGAUGGACUUGCGUCUGAUUAGCUAGUUGGUGAGAUAAAAGCUCACCAAGGCAACGAUCAGUAGCCGGCUUGAGAGAGUGUACGGCCACAUUGGGACUGAGACACGGCCCAGACUCCUACGGGAGGCAGCAGUGGGGAAUUUUGCACAAUGGGGGAAACCCUGAUGCAGCGACGCCGCGUGAUUUAGAGGGCCUUCGGGUUGUAAAAAUCUUUUGUAUAGGAAGAAAAUGACAGUACUAUACGAAUAAGGUCCGGCUAAUUACGUG
Molecule: ribosomal RNA, 477 nt
Filed under: uncultured bacterium
Lineage: Bacteria
Description: partial 16S ribosomal RNA
Rfam family: Bacterial small subunit ribosomal RNA
Source: RNAcentral